GACCCCAUCGUCUAGAGGCCCAGGACAUCGCCCUUUCACGGCGAUGACGGGGGUUCGAAUCCCCCUGGGGUCGCCA
RNAcentral lists this transfer RNA (76 nucleotides) under Deltaproteobacteria bacterium. Its description in RNAcentral is "tRNA-Glu". It matches the Rfam family "tRNA". From Rfam's summary of the family: Transfer RNA (tRNA) molecules are approximately 80 nucleotides in length. The record is from RNAcentral. Lineage: Bacteria; Pseudomonadati; Myxococcota; Myxococcia.